AGUUUCUUGGAGCUUUGAUGACAAUAGAAGGCAGGUGAUCCACAGAUGCUGAAGGGAGCUUUGCCAGAGGCUAGAUCUGGCCAUGAGAUGCUUGGGUAGGUUUUCCCAGCUUCUGCACAGAGGGAGUUCUCCCUCCUCCCCACCCUCCUCCUCAGCUCUGCUUCCACAAAAGCCCAAGCAGGGUGACUCCAGGCCGAGGGAGAAGGGACUGCGCAGGGCAAGGUCCAGGUCUACCUCAGCUCCUGCUCAAAGCUGAAUAAUCGGGAGCCCUUCAAGAAGGAUUUCUGAAAAGCCAUCAAGAGAGUCCUCACAAGAAAGAACACUGAUUUUGACGAACACCCAAAAUAAUGUGAGAUCAGGCACCAUGCAUUAUGCAUGAGGUCUGAUUUAACAUGAACAUUAUUUCUUGUGUACGAGACCAUAUGCCUCCGUGCUGUCUCUGCAGCCUAAUAAAAGCCAGACCCACCCUGGUCAGGCUCAGCAGG
Molecule: long non-coding RNA, 485 nt
Organism: Mastomys coucha (southern multimammate mouse)
Lineage: Eukaryota; Metazoa; Chordata; Mammalia; Rodentia; Muridae
Exons: 2
Source: RefSeq, a predicted model, not a curated record